RNAcentral lists this long non-coding RNA (13049 nucleotides) under Homo sapiens (human). RNAcentral describes it as "non-protein coding lnc-STK32C-2:2". The record is from RNAcentral. Lineage: Eukaryota; Metazoa; Chordata; Mammalia; Primates; Hominidae.
AUUUCAGGAAUUGGAGAUGCCCCUGUGGCUGAGGAGGAGCUGGGGCUGGGGCCGGGGCCAGGGCCGGGGCUCUGACCUGCCACUCUGCCCCACAUUAAGGGCAGAGACCGAAGAGCGCCCCUGCUCUGUGCUGCAUUUGGAAAGAACCUAAAUGUCCUCCCUCUGAAGACUGGUUAAACAUCUGGUUAUGAUCCAGUGCUCACGUUUCUGGAAUCCGUUCCUUUGGCUGUGCCACUUGUGAUCCCUUCUGCUCCAACGUUUGCCUGGGGAGCUCAUUAGGUAGCCAGGACCCUGGGCCACUGCACCCCACCAGGACGGCAGGACUGAAAAGGCCACUGACCUGCUCAUCUGACACCUGAGGGCCGCUGGAGACCCAGGGACACUCCUGCUGCGGCUCAUGUUUGGAAGCUGUCCGGAGGCGGGACUUCCUCUUCCUCCAGGGGCCGCCGUCCGGAGGCGGGACUUCCUCUUCCUCGGGGACAACUGUCUUUUUCUCUUAAGGCCUUGGACUGCCUGGAUGAGGCUAUAAUAUGGUCAGUACUCUGCUCUACCCAAAGUCUCCUGAUUGAAAUAUUAACCUCAUCCAAGAAACACCCUCACAGCGACGUCUACACUGGUGUUUGACCAAAUAGCUGGGGACCGUGGCCUGGUCGAGCUGACACAAAAGUAACCAUCACAGCUGCUGCUAUGGUCUGAAUGUUGAUGUCACCCCCAGAUUCAUUUGUUAGAACUUAAGCCCCAAGGCGAUGGCAUCACUGGUGGGCUUUGGGAGAUGAGGAGGAUAUGAAUGGGACCAGUAGCCUCAUAAGAGUUUUGAGGGUCCUGGUUGCCCUUCCCCACCCUCCCGUCCCUGCCACUGGGUGAGGACACAGCAAGAAGCCGCCGUCCUGGGAGCAGAGAGCAGAAAGCAGCCCUCACCAGACGCUGAAUCUGCUGGGGCCUCGGUCCUGGACGUCCCAGCCUCCAGAACUGAGCGAUGAAAUUCUGGUUACAAAUUGCCCCCUCUGAGGUAUUUUGUUUUAGCAGAAGGAACAGACGAGGAUGACCACCGAGGCCCUUCUCAGGCUGCCGCGGGUCUCCAGGAUGGGGACAGUCAGCUGGGGCCAACCGAGCUGCAUGUGGUCAAGGGCCCAUGCAUGUGACCAGGGCCCGCCUCCCACGUCACCCAGUGCACCCUCAGCAUGGGACACGGACCUAGACACUGCCGGGGUCUCCGUCCUUGCAGGCACUGCCAGGCGCCCCUCCCUGGGAGAAGCUGCAGCUCUGAGGCUACGGUCUUGCAGGUCAGCCACCACCUGGCUUUGUGGUCUGUUAUGCCCGGCCUAGUGUCCAGGGUGGUGACAUUUAUUUGAACAAAGACCAGUCUCCACCACCAAAGUCAUGGCUCUGCUGUUGCUUCCAGAACCAAAGAAAGGCUGGCUUCUGGGCUGGGCGUGGUGAUUCACGCCUGUAAUCCCAGCACUUUGGGAGGCCGAGACGGGCAGAUCACGAGGCCAGGAGUUCGAGACCAUCUUGGCUAACAUGGUGAAACCCUAUCUCUACUAAAAAUACAAAAAAAAUUAGCUGGGUGUGGUGGCACGUGCCUGUAAUCUCAGCAACUCAGGAGGCUGAGGCAGGAGAAUGGCUUCAACCUCGGAGGCGGAGGUUGCAGUGAGCCAAGAUCGCACCACUGCACCCCAGCGUGGGCAACAGAGCAAGACGCUGUCUCAAAAAAAAAAAAAAAAAAAAAAAAAAAAAGUCGGCUUCUCAAGCAGGUGGAAUCAGCGCUUGAUGAGACUCUGUAAUGACUGCAUAAUGAAGGCCCUCCCGGUCCUCCCCCAGCCGGUGCUCCUGUGAAACGGAGCCUGGGAAGCUCCCUUACUGGAGAAGUCUUUCGGCCGGAGAAUCGAUUCCUGCAGCCCCUUGUUUCAAUUCCGUGAGGCUUGAAGGGAGGGGCCGGCGGGCACCUGCAGACAAAUGCAUCCCAGGUGUAAGGAGGGUGCCCGUGGUCGCCCACGUGGCCAGCACAGGGCCGAGGGGGAUGAGGGCAGGGGCUGCCGCCUGCACUCAGCUCCAGGCCUGCCUCAGGGGAGCUGCAAAGCUACUCAUUCUCAUCAGCUUCAAGCUGACAUCCUUUUUGUCUUCAGUCCAGUAUUAGCUUAAAGGGAAAAGCGUUCUUGUUUGAAAUGUUAACUGGGUGCAUUCUGCUCGUUUUAAUUGUUUCAUUUGCCUAUUACGGCAGCCACAGCAGACGUGUUCCGAUUAGCAAAGAGGAAAAUCUAUCCACUGGAUCAAACUUGUAAAUGUGCAUCUCUCGGGGACUCUGUCCACAUCAGGCCUGUCCCUGGGGUCAUGGGGUGUGGGGAGGGGAGGCGAGGGGCCAGUGCUGGCCAGGUGGGACGAAGGCCACUGGGUCCGUUCCAGUCAUUGACUGCUCUCUUCUCUCCUCGUCCCUCUCACUCAGGCCAGGUCCUGACCCCCUUCCUGCUAAGGGCGGGUGGGCUUGGCAGCCUCUGCUGGGCACAGGGUGGUGGCCACAUCUGCUGCCUAAAAGGGCUGCCCCGGAGCAUCCCUGGGGGUGCUGUAUCUGCACCUCCAGCACUGCAGGCCCCUCACAGUGUCCCAGCCCUGUUGCCGGGUGGCUGCUCCCCUGCCCUUGGGGCUAGGGCAUCCAGGUCCUUUGGGGGCUCUGCUGGCGGUGCCCAGACCUGUGGGAGCUGAGCCCCUCCUGAUCCAGCCUCCCUGCUGGGUGCCCUCCCCUGGGCCUGCAGGGCGGGAGCCCCCGGGGCUGCUUCUCCUGGGGCCUGGGCCGUUACAGGGUGAACACGAAGCGAGGGCGCACUAAACACGCUCCGUAACUACCUGGGCUUGACUCGGUCUGUCCUCCACACCGCCCUCACCCAGGCCUAACCUGUGUGUGGCACGGCGGGAGGGGCCCCCUGCUGUCUGGGUGGUUGGUGGGCCACUGCACCUGCUCCAUCCCACCCGUGGCCUGCACAGCCUGUCCCCACCCUGCAUCACUGAGGAGCCUCCUGGGGUUCUGCCGUGGUCCAUGCUGCAGACCUGCCUGGGACAGCCCCUGCCAGGCCCCCCAGGCUAUCCCUGCUGGGCACUCACUCUGGCCAACCACCAUGGCCUGCAGCCUCCCCUGCUUCUCACACUGCCUGGCGUGGGACCCUGUCUCAGAGAGGAGCUCCCCGCUGCGUCCCUCUCUGCAUCGGGACGUGCACACUCUGCACUCCCUCUCCAGAAUAUUUCUCCUUCUCCAGUGACAGCCCGCCAAGCUUGCUCUCAGCUCUUUGAGGAUCAGCUUAGAGAUGGCUUCUUCCAGGAAGUCCUCCCUGAUGCUCCAAAGUGGCUGGUUCCUUCUUUCAUGCCCAAACUGCCCCUCACAGCUGCUCACUCCAACAAAGGCACUGGCCUCUGUGAUGAACCAGGAGACUGAGAGAGCUGGGGAGAUGCUCCAGGGCCUGUCCUGGACUGUCUUGAUUCCCUGGGGCCUGGCACAUGGCCCGGGGCCUGGAACUCAGACAAGAGCUCCACAGGAGCUGAUGGCAGAAUGAAUGAAUGAAUGAAUGAGGUGCAGGCUCGGGGUCCUUGGAGCCUCCCAGAUUUCCAGGCAAGCCCAGCUGGGUCCAGUCCUGGGGCCUGCACCUUCUAGAUGGCCAGCCUGAGCUGCUGGGGGCCCAGCGACCUCAGGGGACAAGAAUGGUGGGGAGGAGGAGCCCCUGGGGAGGGGAUGCUAUUGAGCCCCAGGAGGAGGGUGAGCAGGGGUGGGGUGCGGGGGUGAGGUGGACAGGAAGCUUCAAGGAACACCCCAUGAUCUGAAGGCACCAUCUUCCUUCUCGGGACCCUGCCCCACCAGGCCUGCCGGGCCCUCAGAGGAUCACAGCACCCUCACGCUCUGGGACAGGUCCAAGCGCAGCCCGCGUGGCCCCUACAAGCCUGCUGUCAUUGGCUAAGGUGAGUUUACCUGAAGGCUCAGGGACCCUGGGGGAUGGGCUGAGGGGAGCGGCAGUGUUGCUGGGGACACAGAUCCUUGGUGCUGGGUAGACAAGGUUGCCCACCAGGGACCCUCAGGCCCACAGAAACACACUCAGGACACAUACGUGACACCCCAACAUGCACACACGCUGACACACAUGUGCACACACAUGCACGGAGAGACACAACGACACCACACAGGCACAUGCAGACACAUGUGUGCACACAUAUGCAGAUACACAGACACCCCAACACAUGCACAUAUAGACACACCCCAACACACUGACACACGUGUGCACACACAUGCACACAGACACAACACCUCAGCAUAUACACACACGCACACACAUACACAGAUACAUAGAUACCCCAACACAUGCACACAUAGACACAGACACCCCAACACAGACUGACACACACAUGCAAACAUGCAUCCCAACACACACACUGGCACAUGUGCACACAUCACACCGAUGCACAUGGACCCCCACACUCACACACACUGACACGCAUGUGCUCACACAUGCACAUAUACAUACACACUUAGCUGCCUCAGACACACACACCCAGGACCCUCAGGCAUGUGCCCCACAAUGACCUACAAACACACAAGCUCUCAAGGGUACCCCCACAUACACACCACCUCAUGGACACACAACCCACGAACACGCGCCACACCUUCCUGCUCUCCCUCACACACACAGACACACACCUCCCACCUGGGUGUCCUCCGCCUGCACUUGCCUGGCAGCCUGCUGUGGUUUCCCUGGAAACACUGUCACCAUGGUGGCUUUGCAGAGCCUGGGGUGCAGCUCCAGCGCAAAGCCCAACCUGGGGCACAGGCAGCCAGUGGGCAUGGACUGGAUUCAGAAGAGACGCCCAGUGGAGGGCUCAGGUGGGAGGGGGACAGGCCCUGAGAGGCACAGUGGGGGCAGGGCAGCUCACUCCCGCCAGAGUCCCUGCAGCUGGGCUGUGCCACCCCUGCCAGGUCCUGAGAUGGGAGGAAGUGCAGCCCACCCUGCCCCUGCCUGCCCAGGUCAGCAGUGCCCACGGGCAGAAUCCCUUCCUGAGCCCCCUGCUCUCCUGGAGACAGCAUGGGCCACAGGAGGAAGGAAGGAGCUGGGGAGAAGGUGGGGCCUGCAGCCUGGCUUGCCAGGGAGGAGGGGUGGAUGGGGACCAAGAGCCAGGAAUCCCGGCACAGCCGGGAGGAGCCGAUGAGCCAGGGCAAGGGGUCAACACUGGAGCCUGAUCUCCCAGGAAGGGUGCUGUUCUGGGCCCCGGCUGGGCCAGAUGAGGCACCACGUUCCCAGGCCCUGUGUUGGCAGCAGGCCUACCUCUGCCCUCCCAGGCACUCUGGGGUGUGGUCCCAGGGCCUCCCCACUUGAAUGGAGGCCAGCCAGGUCCGGCAGGUGGGAGCACCCAGGCAUGCGCUGGGUGUGCAGAGGGAGGGCCCAUGCUGCCCCACGGUUACCAAGCUGCAGGGACAGAGCACGGGGGCUGCCUCUGUGGCUCUUGGUGGGGCACGGGGCUGUGCUGGGAGGCCCAGACAUCAGGGAGGGAGGAUGGGCUUGGAAUGGGGACUAUAAAAGGUCACGGUGGGGAGGGCCGCUGACCCCUGUCCUUCUCACGGGGGGUCUCCAGCACACCCUGCUGCCACUGGCCCCUCGGCCUGGAGCCAGGCUCCAUUGUGGAGUGGGUAGUGGCCACUGUGGAAGGGUUGGGGACACUUAGAGGCUGAGCUGCUGGAUGCAGGUUGACAUUUGAAGCCUGGCCUGAUGGAGCUGGGCUUUCCCUGGAGCGCUGGACAGGCCACCCAGCCUUCUGGCUCUGCUUCCCUCCUGCAUCUCAUGCUGGGAUUGAUGGGUGGUCAGGGUGCCUGCUCUGAGCUAAGGCCUGACUGGCCCCAAAUUCUGGGACCCAUGCAGAGGGAAGGGGACAUCUGUGGUCCUUGGAGGAAGGAGUCAAAACAAUUGGGGCAGAAAAUGGGAUGAGUGGGCAAGGGCGGGAGAGCACAGCUGAGAAUGCCCGGGGAUGAGGAGUGAGCAGGGACACUGCGCAGCUGCUCUGGCCUGGACUGAAGCCCACCAGGGUACACCCUGAGGCCUGGUAGAGUGCCAGGGCCACACUGCUGAGGCUCCCUGUCCUCGAAGUCCGCUUGGAGCCCUCCUACCUCUCCAAAGGCGGCAUUCUCCCCUCCACCGAGCCCGUGUGUUCAUCCACACAGUCCCCAUUUCUCAAGGCAGGGGGCUUGCAAGACAGGAGCCAGGCCAGGUCCCGGCCACAUCUGGUCCACAUGGCUUGUUUGUGGUGUGGUGCCCGCAGCCGUUCCUCCAGAAACAUGCCUCAGCAGCCCAGCACCUUCCAGAGAGCCUUGCACACAGGCAUGCAUGAGGAAGCUGUGAGGAGUGUGAUGACAACAGCAAUAAUGACAAAGGUGAUGACAGUGGUGUGAGGUGAUAAUGAAGACGGUGGUGGUGAAGAUGAGAUGAAGAUGAUGGUGGUGAUGGUGAUGGUGACAGUGAUGACAGUGAUGGUGGUGUAAUGGUGAUGAGGUGAUGAAGGUGGAGUGAUGGUGAUGAGAUGAAGAUGAUGGGGAUAAUGGUGGUGAUGACAGUGAUAGUGAUGGUGUGAUGAUGGUGACAGUGACUGUGAUGGUGAUGAUGAUAGUGAUGACAGUGAUAGUGAUGGUGAUGAUGAUGGUGAUUGUGAUGGUGAUGGUGACAGUCACUGUGAUGGUGACAGUCACAUAGUGAUUGUGAUCUGAUGAUGAAUGUGAUGACGAUGACAUUUAUAGUGAUGGUGUGAUGAUGAUGAUGAUGGUGAUGGUCACGGUGAUAGUGAUGGUGAUGAUAGUGAUGACAGUGAUAGUGAUGGUGAUGAUGAUUGUGAUGGUGACAGUGAUAGUGAUGGUGAUGAUGAUGAUGGUGAUUGUGAUGACAGUGAGAGUGAUGGUGGUGAUGAUGGUGAUUGUGAUGUGAUGAUGAAUGUGAUGGUGAUGGUGAUGAUUGUGAUGGUGACAGUGAUGGUGAUUGUGAUCUGAUGAUGAAUGUGAUGAUGAUGACGACAGUGAUAGUGAUGGUGAUGAUGAUGGUGAUUGUGAUGUGAUGAUGAAUGUGAUGAUGAUGAUGGUGACAGUGAUGGUGAUCAUAGUGAUUGUGAUAUGAUGAUGAAUGUGAUGACGAUGACAUUUUAGUGAUGGUGUGAUGAUGAUGAUGGUGAUGGUGACAGUGAUAGUGAUGGUGAUGAUAAUGAUGACAGUGAUAGUGAUGAUGAUGAUGGUGGUGAUUGUGAUGACAGUGACAGUGAUGGUGUGAUGAUGAUGGUGAUGAUGGUGAUGGUCACAGUGAUAGUGAUGGUGAUGAUGAUAGUGAUGACAGUGAUAGUGGUGAUGAUGAUGGUGAUUGUGAUGACAGUGAUAGUGAUGGUGUGAUGAUGGUGAUAGUGAUGAUGAUGAUGAUGGGGAUCGUGGCACACCUGAGCUAACCUUUUGGGCCAGCAGCGCCCCCUGCCACUUGCUGGACACCCCAGGCGCCGGCAUGCUGGUUGCUCCCCUGCUGUCUCCCAGCUCUCAGGCAGUAACUCUCUCAGUCAUGUGAAGACAUUGAAAUGCAGCCGUCGUGCCUGGCAUGCGGUUGGGCAUUAAUUACAUCUCCUUUUGCAAAGCCUAAUCAACUUCUCCUAAUUAACCUGUUUCCUGUCAAUGUGAAAUAAUUGAAUUCACUCGGAAUUGGCUGUGCACAUAGAGCCAUCAGAAGCCUACGUGGCUAUUUGUAAUGGUGGAGAUUUUGCAAACAACAUACCUUGUUUUGAAAACACAUUUUCAAUCCCUGUGGGCAUAUGUCCCUCUGAUGCACAAGCUUUCCGUGCUUUCCUAGAGCAGGGAUGCUUCAUUCAUGGGGUCUGUGAACUUGGACGAGAAAAAGCAACAUCUCUAUUUUACUAAGCUCUGACUGAAAUCUGGCAUUUCCUUCCACGAGGAACGCCAGCCAUCCCAGGGCUUUAUCUCAAAUAGAAAACACAGGUGUGUUUGUAUCACUUUGCAGUUGUUGCAGGUUUUUCAAACUUGUCCACACUCACCUCCACCUCUAAAACUCAGGGGCUGCUGGACGCUGGGUUUUGUUAUCCAGUGCGACGUGUAAUGCAGCCACUGCCACCCUCACACAUCUGCUUUGUUGAUAUUUUGACAUCUGCUUCACUAUGGCUGUUUUCCUUGGUGGCCGUAUGUGUUUUUGUCCAAGUAAAUCAUGAAUGGUAGAGCGCAGGGAUUUCUAGGGCAGUGAAAUGAUUCCAUACGAUACUGUGAUGGUGGACACACGGCAUCGUGCAUUUGUCAAAACUGAUGGAACAGCAGCAGUGGUCCCCAACCUUUUUGGCACCAGGGACCAGGGACCAGUUUUAUGAAAGACAUUUUUCUUAUAGACCAGAGGCUGGGGGGGGCGAUGAUUGGGGAUGAAACUGGCCCACCUCAGGUCAUCAGGCAUUAGAUUCUCGUGAGGAGCUCGGAGCCUAGCUCCCUGGCAUGGGCAGUUCACAAUAGGAUUCAUGCUCGUAUGAGAAGCUAAUGCUGCCGCUGAUGUGACGGGAGGUGAUGCUCAGGUGGUAAUGCUUUGCCUGCCCACCUCUCACCUCCUGCUGUGUGGCCUGGUUCCUAACAGGCCCUGGACUGGCACCAGUGCCGAUGCAAAUGACGGGCAUAAGGGCACUGUGGGUGGGGGCUCAGGGAAUGCCCUGUGCUACCUGCUCCCUGCUCUGUAAACCAAAAACUGCUCUACAAAAUAAAGUCUAUUCACUUAAAAAAAAAACUCUUAAUUAUGAAAAAAAUUAUCCCCAUGCUGUCAAAACGCCCCCUCCCCACAGGAGCAGAUGCUCUAGGGACAGCUGGCCCAGGCUCAGGCCAGCUGAGCCCCUUGCCAGCAGGCGUGCAGCCCACGCCUGCCGGAACAGGGGAACAGCAUUGGCCUCUGUGUCCUGGAACAGGGUGGGAUGCCUGGGGCAGCACAGCCCCCAGAUCUAUGGCCAGGUACAGCCACCGGCAGUGAACACCUCCGGAGGUGGCCUGCAAGGAAGGAACGGUCACGUCGUUGAAAGUGCAAUUCAGCAUCCACACGGCACACGCACGCGCACACGUGGGUACACAGCAUCCACACGGCACACACACGCGCACGCGUGGGUACACAGCAUCCACACGGCACAAGCACGCGCACGCGUGGGUACACAGCAUCCACACGGCACACACAUGAGCACUCAUGGGCACACAGCAUCCAUAUGGCACAUGCACACACACACGGGUACACAGCAUCCACAUGGCACACGCAAGGCACACAUGGGCACACAGCAUCCACACGGCACACGCACGGGCACACAGCAUCCACACGGCACACACACGGGCACACGGCAUCCACACGGCACACGCACGUGGACACACGGGCACACGGCAUCCACAUGGCACACGCACGGGCAUGCGGCAUCCACACGGCACAUGCAAGGCACAUGGCAUCCACAUGGCACACGCACGCGCACACGGCACCCACACGGCACACGCACGGCACACGCACGCGCACGCAGGGGCACACGGCACCCACACGGCACACGCACGCGCAGGCACGGGCACACGGCAUCCACACGGCACACGCACGCACACGCAUGGGCACCCAGUCGCACAUGCGUGUCAGUAUCAGCAAGCAGCCCCACUGCAGGACAGGCCCAGUAUGCUCCUUUCCCAGUUUUGAGGAGCUGAAAUUCUUCCUUAAUCUAAAUGUUUUCCGUUCGGAACGCACACGUGUUGUGUUUUUUCCACAGUCAUUAGAUUCAGAGUAAUUAAACCAAAACGCUCAUUUCUGGAAAGAGACAAAGUAUUUUGAGUUUCUACAUCAAUAUUUAACAUCUGCCUAACAUUUUAUAUGCUGCCCUGGUGGGUAAAACGAUUUCUACUCUCCAUAAAGAUGGACUCUGCCACAAAUCCCUCAAGAAAGAAAGAUAUUUUCUUGUGAAGAGUCAGCCAUAGUGUCUGCCUUACGUAGAGCUUGACAGUUUUUUUUCUUAUUUUAAAAUCUCAGAGCCAAAUUCAGUUCGACAAUCAAGCUAAAUGAUUAGUCGGCUUUAGAGCUGAUGUGUGUGAAGUUGGAAUUUAGCACAUUAAAUAUUUCAGGGAGAAAGUGCGCAACGUGAGACAGAAAGGCAGAGGCUUCCUCUAGAACUCAGCCUGGAGUGGUUGCAGGAAAAUGCGCCAAUUAGCAGGGGCUUCGUUCUCGCCAAUGUGACAGCUCAGAACAUUUGCAAUCCAUUUUGGAGGAUGAGAAAGGAAUACUGUGCUCCCCUUCGUGCAAAAACCAAGCCAUGCAGAACAAAAUUACAGGCCAGGAGGACAUGCCAGGGCCUGUAUGGACAGUGCUGGAUGGUGCAGAACCCACGUGCUGGGUCCCUGUGUGCUCAUGCCCAUCCAGAGAUGCCCUGGGGACACAAACAGGCCCUCAAAUGCAGAGGGCCUGUCCAGGGAGCAGGUGAGAGGGAAACGCAAAGACAAGUGGUGCCUCCAGGGUGGCCCAGCUCAAGCCUGCCAGAGCACACCUGCCUCGGCACCGGGGCUUCCGGGACCCCACCACUGAAUGCCAGGCCACCCCAGGCAGGGGACAGGCUGCGAGAAUGGGCCUCAAGCCCUUGCUGAUCUCCUCGCCAGCCACAGUGGGACAAGCUCUGAUGGGGCAGCAGGGCCCUACUCACCCCAUGGGCAGCCACUGGUUAGAGAUACCCCGGCCGCCUGGGUGCCCAAGCCGAGCCUCCCCUGGGGGCCGUGUGCGUCCCAUUUGGAGUCCCCACCAUGCCCACUGUCCUCUCCACAGCUGCUCUGGUGGGUGGGGUGCUGGCCUACCAGGGUGCAGCAGGGACACCAGGAAGCUCAGCACCUCACUCAGCACCUGCUCUUCAGGCUGAAGCUGGCAGCGGGACCACCUCCACUUGCCUAGGACUGCAGAGCACAACCUGGCACCCUCCUGAAGAUGACGCACAUGAUCAUGACCCACAGGACCCAGCGGCUCCACCCCCAGGGGUGAGCCUGAAAGAAGCAAAAACACACAGCCACACACACACACACAGCCACACACACAGCCACACACACACACACAGCCACACACACACAGCCACACACACAGCCACACACACACACAGCCACACAGAGACUGCAGGAAAGCUCACAGCAGCUUUGUGCACAGCAGCCAAAAGGCAGAGACAGCUCACAUGUCCACAGACUGACAGAUGGACAAACACCAUAUGUUCACCCACAUGGGGAGCAUCAUUCAGCAUAGAAAGGAAUGGGGCACAGGCACGCGCCAACACGGGGGCAUCGUGAAAGCACUGUGCUCGGCGAAGGAAGCCACACACGACCGCCUGCCAGAACACAUGCUACACACAACGGUGUGUCACACACAACCACACAUCACACGGAACACGUUACAUGCAAUGGUGUAUCACACACAACCACGUCACACGGACCACAUGGAAUGCAUGUUACAAUCAUAAAUCACACAAACCACAUGUCACAUGGAACAUGUGUUACACACCGUAUCUUACACAUAACUGCACGUCAUACAGAAUGUGUGUUACACACAACUGUAUCUCACACACAACCGCACAUCAUACAGAACGCAUGUUACACACAAUCAUAUCUCCCACACAACCGCAUGUCACAUGGAUGAAAUGGAACGCAUGUUACACACAAUCAUAAAUCACACACAACCACAUGUCACACAGAACGCAGAACAGGGAAGUCCCCAGAGACGGAAGCAGAUGAGGGACUGCUUAGGCCUGGGGAGGAGGGUGAUGGCUAAAAGCUGUGGGGUUUCUUUCUGAGGUGAAGCGAAUGUUCUAAAAGGGCCCGUGGGGAUGUUGCCCAUCUAUAAACACGCUGAAAGCCAUGGACGUGUCCACUGGAAGGGGAGGGAUCAUAUGAUAUGUGAGCUACGUCUCAAAGAAAGCUGUUUUUUCAAAAAGACUUGUUUCCCGUCUCCCCCGAGGGCUUCCUGGACUCCUGUUGCUUGUCUCUGUCACGAAUCCUCACCCCAAAAUCAUAGGAUGAACACCCCAAAGAAAUCAUGAGAACUCUUCUCUUUGUAGCAAACCACCAAAGGAGAAAUUCAUGCUUGAAACUGUAUCCAAACGGAUCAGGGGCCCAAGGGCUGGAUGAUCUUCACCGCAGCUGGUCUCUGAAAACAUGCCUUGUGACCUGCAGUGAGGAGUCCGCAUCUGUCUGUGCCACCUGCUGAGACUGUCCUCUCUCGGGCUCCCAUGGGGGCUGCGGGCUGGAGCGGGGCCAGGAGGGAGGGGGAUGGACGGCUGGGAGGAGGACAGACACCCACACCUCGGUGACAGGUGACAGGCGUUGGCUUGGGCAGAGCCUCGGUGACCUGCCUAGGUUUUCUUCCCCAAAGCAGAUCCCAGCUGCGUCUGCACCCAGCAGGCCCCAGAGCCUUCUCCUCCGUGGGGGGGUGGGGGUAAGUCCCCUCCUGCUGGGCUGCCAGGCCUCAGGCAGCCUCGACGCAGCUCUGCACCCAGCUCCCGGCUCCCACAGAGAGCCCUGCAGCUACAGCCGGGGCGGCAGCUUCCAGUGGGCUUCCUGGACCCCUGUCUCCCAGCCACGCCGACCGCAGCCACUAUGUGGCUCCUUACAGUCCUCCCCCGGGACCCCUCAGCCCCCACUGGCCUCCGUCUCCCCAUCCUGGUGCCCCUCUGCUCUCUGUGGGUCUCCAUGGGUCACCCCACUGCCCCGUUCAUCUCUCCGUCCUGGCGCCCUCUGCCCUCCGAGGGUCACCCCCGCCGCCCUCUCAUCUCUCAGGUCUUGUCCCUGCCUGGCAGCGGGUUGAGCACUGGGCCCACUCCUGGGCCUCCCAGCUCCCUUGGGACCAUCUCUCUCACCUCUCCAGCCCCUCCAGCUGUGGACACUGACCCCUGCCUGGCUAUGGGGCUCUAGGGCAAGCCCCUCCGGCUCCAGGCCUUCAGCCCCCUCCCCCCAGCCACACCCAGGAAGGAAGGAAGCCCCCACUGCUCUGCCCCUUGGAGGGUCAGCGACGCCUGCCCGCACAGGGAAGCUCUCC